This 292-nucleotide ribosomal RNA is filed under the name uncultured Acidobacteriota bacterium. Its description in RNAcentral is "uncultured Acidobacteria bacterium partial 16S ribosomal RNA". The record is from RNAcentral. Lineage: Bacteria; Pseudomonadati; Acidobacteriota.
GGACUACACGGGUUUCUAAUCCUGUUUGCUCCCCUAGCUUUCGUCCCUCAGCGUCUGUUGCGAUCCAGCGAGCCGCUUUCGCCUCGGAUGUUCCUGCGGAUAUCUACGCAUUUCACCGCUACACCCGCAAUUCCACUCGCCUCUCUCGCACUCGAGCACGGCAGUUUCGGGAGCAGCCUCUGGGUUAAGCCCAGAGAUUUCACUUCCGACUUGCCGCACCGCCUACGGACCCUUUACGCCCAGUAAUUCCGAGCAACGCUGGCCCCCUACGUUUUACCGCGGCGGCUGGCAC